This 81-nucleotide microRNA precursor is filed under the name Mesitornis unicolor (brown roatelo). RNAcentral's name for it is "mir-92 microRNA precursor family". It matches the Rfam family "mir-92 microRNA precursor family". From Rfam's summary of the family: This family represents the microRNA precursor mir-92. Human miR-92 has two predicted hairpin precursor sequences: mir-92-1 on chromosome 13 and mir-92-2 on chromosome X. miR-92 has also been cloned from mouse embryonic stem cells. Lineage: Eukaryota; Metazoa; Chordata; Aves; Mesitornithiformes; Mesitornithidae. The record is from Rfam by way of RNAcentral.
GUUUCUCCAUGGGUGGGGAUUUGUUGCAUUACUUGUAGCUAUACAUAGAGUAUUGCACUUGUCCCGGCCUGUGGAGGAAAG